RNAcentral lists this ribosomal RNA (163 nucleotides) under uncultured Bacillus sp. Its description in RNAcentral is "partial 16S ribosomal RNA". It matches the Rfam family "Bacterial small subunit ribosomal RNA", at positions 370 to 527 of the family's 1533-position model. Lineage: Bacteria; Bacillati; Bacillota; Bacilli; Caryophanales; Bacillaceae. The record is from RNAcentral.
CUCAUGUCGAAGUCUGACGGAGCACGCCGCGUGAGCGAUGAAGGCCUUCGGGUCGUAAGCUCUGUUGUUAGGGAAGAACAAGUAUCGGAGUAACUGCCGGUACCUUGACGGUACCUAACCAGAAAGCCACGGCUAACUACGUGCCAGCAGCCGCGGUAAUAGA